This 253-nucleotide ribosomal RNA is filed under the name uncultured bacterium. RNAcentral describes it as "partial 16S ribosomal RNA". It matches the Rfam family "Bacterial small subunit ribosomal RNA", at positions 524 to 776 of the family's 1533-position model. The record is from RNAcentral.
UACGUAGGGUGCGAGCGUUGUCCGGAAUUAUUGGGCGUAAAGGGCUUGUAGGCGGUCUGUCACGUCGGGAGUGAAAACUCAGGGCUUAACCCUGAGCCUGCUUCCGAUACGGGCAGACUAGAGGUAUGCAGGGGAGAACGGAAUUCCUGGUGUAGCGGUGAAAUGCGCAGAUAUCAGGAGGAACACCGGUGGCGAAGGCGGUUCUCUGGGCAUUACCUGACGCUGAGGAGCGAAAGUGUGGGGAGCGAACAGG